CUUUAGUGGCGAACGGGUGCGUAAUACGUGAGAAUCUGCCCUUAGGAGGAGAAUAACUUCUGGAAACGGUUGCUAAGUCUCCAUAUGCCGAGAGGCGAAAUAGUUUAGACUGCCUAGGGAUGAGCUCACGCCUGAUUAGCUUGUUGGUGAGGUAAUGGCUCACCAAGGCCACGAUCAGUAGCUGGUUUGAGAGAACGAUCAGCCACGCUGGGACUGAGACACGGCCCAGACUCCUCCGGGAGGCAGCAGUGAGGAAUUUUCCGCAAUGGGCGAAAGCCUGACGGAGCAAUACCGCGUGAGGGAUGAAGGAUUUUGGUCUGUAAACCUCUUUUCUCAAGAAAGAAGUUCUGACGGUACUUGAGGAAUAAGCAUCGGCUAACUCCGUGCCAGCAGCCGCGGUAAUACGGGGGAUGCAAGCGUUAUCCGGAAUCAUUGGGCGUAAAGCGCCUGUAGGUUGUUUAAUAAGUCUGUUGUUAAA
RNAcentral lists this ribosomal RNA (478 nucleotides) under uncultured Emiliania. RNAcentral's name for it is "bacterial SSU rRNA". It matches the Rfam family "Bacterial small subunit ribosomal RNA", at positions 90 to 599 of the family's 1533-position model. Lineage: Eukaryota; Haptophyta; Isochrysidales; Noelaerhabdaceae. The record is from RNAcentral.